This 115-nucleotide ribosomal RNA is filed under the name Danio rerio (zebrafish). The record is from RNAcentral. Lineage: Eukaryota; Metazoa; Chordata; Actinopteri; Cypriniformes; Danionidae.
GCCGGCAGCCAGCUCUCUGCAACUCUCACAUGGUCGCCCACUGAAGCUAAGCAGGGAUGCGCCCGGUCAGUACUUGGAUGGGAGAGCACAUGGGAAAGCUAGGUUGCUGCCGGAA